UGAGUCGGGACAGCCUUCUUCCUCCGCCCAGCCACCACAGUGAUUUGUCGUCAAGUCUGCCACAGGAGGAUAUUUUGUUCUGGGUUAACCUGCUUUUAUCCUUCGCAGGUUGUUUAUCCAUGUUUGUGUAAUUUUAAUUACUCCUAGAAUUUUCGCAUGUGUUAGCAGUAUUUAUUUGAAUUUGGUCUGUAAUAUUUUUAUCAUGUUGGACCUGUAAACUUAAAUAUGUUAUGUAUGUUUGAUGGAUUGGAUGAGGGAGCUGAGCUCCCAUUUAUUUUAUGUUGAUGAGUAUGUGGAGGGUGAGCUGAGCUCCCCAAUUGAGUA
Hevea brasiliensis (rubber tree) is the source of this 324-nucleotide long non-coding RNA. RefSeq lists it as uncharacterized. The transcript has 2 exons. Lineage: Eukaryota; Viridiplantae; Streptophyta; Magnoliopsida; Malpighiales; Euphorbiaceae. The record is from RefSeq and is a predicted model, not a curated record.